Molecule: ribosomal RNA, 652 nt
Filed under: Anophryoides haemophila
Lineage: Eukaryota; Ciliophora; Oligohymenophorea; Philasterida; Glauconematidae
Description: partial Bacterial large subunit ribosomal RNA
Rfam family: Bacterial large subunit ribosomal RNA
Source: RNAcentral
GGGAACUGAAACAUCUAAGUACCUGGAGGAAAGGACAUCAAUCGAGACUCCGUUAGUAUUGGCGAGCGAACGCGGACCAGGCCAGUGAUACAUCAAAGACAAUCGGAACCAGUCAGGAAAGCUGGGCCUCAGAGGGUGAUAGCCCCGUACGAGUAAUGCGAUGAUGUAUCCACGAGUAAGGCGGGACACGUGUAAUCCUGUCUGAACAUAGGGGGACCACCCUCUAAGCCUAAAUACUCGUAUGCGACCGAUAGUGAACUAGUACCGUGAGGGAAAGGUGAAAAGCACCCCGAUGAGGGGAGUGAAACAGUACCUGAAACGGAUUGCCUACAAGCAGUUGGAGGGUCCUUGAGGCCUGACAGCGUACCUCUUGCAUAAUGGGUCUGUGACUUAAUGUAUCAAGCAAGCUUAAGCCGUUAGGUGUAGGCGCAGCGAAAGCGAGUCUGAAUAGGGCGACUGAGUUUGAUGCAUUAGACCCGAAACCCGGCGAUCUAGGCAUGACCAGGAUGAAGGUGCGGUAACACGCACUGGAGGCUCGAACCGAUUAACGUUGAAAAGUUACCGGAUGAGUUGUGUUUAGGGGUGAAAGGCCAAUCAAGCCGGGAAAUAGCUGGUUCUCCGCGAAAACUAUUGAGGUAGUGCCUCGGAUGUU